Molecule: non-coding RNA, 1024 nt
Organism: Passer montanus (Eurasian tree sparrow)
Lineage: Eukaryota; Metazoa; Chordata; Aves; Passeriformes; Passeridae
Source: the annotation of a RefSeq genome assembly
CAUCCUAGCAAAGAAUUUAACAUCACCUAUAUCAGGAAAUGUGGAAAUCACAGGGCAAAGUGACUUUUUCCAUCUGGUACCUCCCCAUCUGAUAGCAAAUUGUGCAAAUCCUCAUUGGUGCCUUUAAACCAUGCCAUUUUAAGGAACUAUGUGGCUGUCAGGAAGAACAUAAUGACACUGGGGGUUACAGCCUGACUUUGUACAGCUGUGCAAACCAGCAGCUUAACUUUGGAGUCGGCACUAUGCUCAGAGUCAUAGGGAAGAAUGAUGAAAUCAUACCUCCUGCCGUGGCCAUCUUUUCCCCAUCAAAGCAGGAGAUCCAGCAGAAGAGCAAGGCCACGCUGGUGUGCCUGGCCUCUGGUUUCUACCCUGACCACUUGACUCUGGUGUGGAGGGUGAAUGGUGUGAAAAGGACUGAAGGGGUGGGCACAGACGAGUCCUCCACACAGAAUGGGAGCACCUACUCACUGACCAGCCGACUGAGGAUGCCAGCCUGGGAAUGGUUCAACCCUCUGAAUCGCUUCGAGUGUGUUGCCAGUUUUUUUCAGAAUGGAACAACAGCAUCAGUAAACAAAUUUAUCCAUGGUGAUGCUGGUUGUGCACUCACAGAAGAGUCGUACUUGCGGUAUGGAAAUUCCCUGAAGCUCACUUACCUCAUCCUCUGUGGCAAAGCCUUGGUCUAUGCAGUUUUGGUGAGUGGUCUGGUGUGGACAGGCAAGAGUGGCGUCAAGUUAUCUAGAGAAUAAAUGAAGAGCCCUUGUCAUCACAUCAGCAGGAACAUGACAAGAUUGCUACCUUUCCAUAGCAAAAAAAUCUGUGCUUCUACGAACUUCUGAAUAUAAUUUUUUUGUAAUUAUCAGUUGCUGUACUGUUAUUCACAUCUUUGUCAGCUUUCUCUGUACUUCCAUAUCAUAAUGUAUCAUAUUUUAUUGUAAGACAUCUUUAAAAGUAGCACCUUCUUAAUGCUCAGCAGCUGAGAACUCAUCUGAUUGAUUUAGGAAUAAAGUUUUUGCUUCUCUUCCCU